GAGAACAAUUAAUCCCACAGAAUUCAAAAAUGCAGUUAUUGUACACAGGUAACAUUUCUUAUUUUGUUUUUGCCUGCUGAGGGGAAGAGGCAAGUCCAGAGAGGGCAAGUCUGUUUGAGUGCUUAUUAUGAAUUACAAACUAUACUGAGCUUUUAGUUUUCCCCUUUUGUUUAGUGAAAUAACUAAAAAUUUCCUGUGGUAACCAAGAUACAAGCCUGAUUUUAUUUAUGUUACCACUGGCUCAGCCUCAGCAUGGUUUCAUACGGAAACAGACCAUAUUACAGAGCCAGCUAGAAGGACAGGACCCUGCCUAUUCAUAUAAGAACAAAGCAGGAAGAUUGCUGUGCAGAAAAAAAAAUAUUAAAAAAAUCUUCAUCUGUCUGUGAAAAGGAAAAGCUGGAGUUUUGGCCACCAGAGACUGAAAUCAAGAAACUCCUGGAUCUUACUGUGUCUCCAUGUAAUAACCCAAAGGCUCCAAGGACAGAAUGGGGCUUUACUGAAGAAUCUCAGACUGAUUGAAUUUAUCCCAAAUGCAACUACUUAUCAGACAGGAAACAUGGCUGAAAAUAUAAAACAUUAUCAAAAUUCCCAGAAGAAACCACUGCUAAAAUGCAAAGCCAUAAGGAGGCUUGUGGAUUCACAAAGACCUUAAAACACAUCUGACAGCAGAGGGCAUCACAGAAUCCAAGACAGCUGUUGCUUUAAUGGCAGAACGUGCAAAAUGACUGUUGGCCUCAACCACCCUUGCAAAAGUGGUCUUAUAAGCCUAAGUGCAACACAGCCAUUGUGAGGGAGCAAUGAUUCUGUAACAGUGCUUGUGGACUCUUCAGACCCAAGGUAAGUCUGACUUCUCUUGUUCUGGAUUUCCCUUCAUCAAUUGCUCAGUUGUGGCAGCAUGGGCAGUGGGGAGGCCUUGCUGCUCCUACCCAGACCUGAGAUCUCAACCUGUAUUACUUAUUUCAUUUUCUUUUGUGAUACCUGUCAGCUCUAAGCUUUAUUGACAUACAUGCCAACAUGACCUAC
This is a long non-coding RNA of Coturnix japonica (Japanese quail), 1023 nucleotides long. RefSeq lists it as uncharacterized. The record is from RefSeq and is a predicted model, not a curated record. NCBI's taxonomy places the organism in Eukaryota, Metazoa, Chordata, Aves, Galliformes, Phasianidae.